Molecule: non-coding RNA, 23 nt
Filed under: Rattus norvegicus (Norway rat)
Lineage: Eukaryota; Metazoa; Chordata; Mammalia; Rodentia; Muridae
Source: RNAcentral
UAAGAAUGGCUCCUAUGAUCGCA